GACGAACGCUGGCGGCGUGCCUAAUACAUGCAAGUAGAACGCUGAAGAGAGGAGCUUGCUCUUCUUGGAUGAGUUGCGAACGGGUGAGUAACGCGUAGGUAACCUGCCUGGUAGCGGGGGAUAACUAUUGGAAACGAUAGCUAAUACCGCAUAACAACAGUUGUUGCAUGACAGCUGUUUAAAAGAUGCAAUUGCAUCACUACCAGAUGGACCUGCGUUGUAUUAGCUAGUUGGUGAGGUAACGGCUCACCAAGGCGACGAUACAUAGCCGACCUGAGAGGGUGAUCGGCCACACUGGGACUGAGACACGGCCCAGACUCCUACGGGAGGCAGCAGUAGGGAAUCUUCGGCAAUGGGGGGAACCCUGACCGAGCAACGCCGCGUGAGUGAAGAAGGUUUUCGGAUCGUAAAGCUCUGUUGUAAGAGAAGAACGGGUGUGAGAGUGGAAAGUUCACACUGUGACGGUAUCUUACCAGAAAGGGACGGCUAACUACGU
Molecule: ribosomal RNA, 496 nt
Filed under: uncultured bacterium
Lineage: Bacteria
Description: partial 16S ribosomal RNA
Rfam family: Bacterial small subunit ribosomal RNA
Source: RNAcentral